UUUUUUCAUCUUUAAUAUUCCCUGCUUUGUCUCCUGCUUCAAGCAAAUCUUCCCAGUUCAUGGCCUCCUCAACUCGUUCUUCACCUAAAACAAUCACAGGUAAUCCUGCACUCUUCACCUGGUCCAUCAUUAAGCAAACUAAUUAAAACCAAGUUUUAUAUGCGUUGAAAUCGUUCUAGUCUGUGAUUUGAAUUUGCUUUAAAAUAAUUGUUUACCAGAAUAUUUUAAGAUAGAAACUGACUAGAAAGAACCUCAAAGUUACCUUUUCAUAAUUUAUUGUAUCUGUGACAAUGAGCUUGGCGUCACCUAGUUGUGCCUGCUUCUUUAUUUCUGAAGCAUGAGCUGUUGGGUUUGCACCAGAGAAGACACAACCGGCAGCCAUGAUACCCAGAGCAACAAUGGCGUAUUCUGCAAUAUUGGGUAGCACCAAGAUCACCAGAUGUCCUUUCCUUAACCCAAGCGACUUUAAGGCUUUGGCAAAUCUCUUGGUGUCCUUCACAACUUG
This 505-nucleotide long non-coding RNA is filed under the name Carica papaya (papaya). RNAcentral's name for it is "long non-coding RNA (CPAP_LNC009182)". The record is from RNAcentral. Lineage: Eukaryota; Viridiplantae; Streptophyta; Magnoliopsida; Brassicales; Caricaceae.